AGAGUUUGAUCCUGGCUCAGAACGAACGCUGGCGGCAGGCUUAACACAUGCAAGUCGAGCGCCCCGCAAGGGGAGCGGCAGACGGGUGAGUAACGCGUGGGAAUCUACCUUUUGCUACGGAAUAACUCAGGGAAACUUGUGCUAAUACCGUAUGUGCCCUUCGGGGGAAAGAUUUAUCGGCAAAGGAUGAGCCCGCGUUGGAUUAGCUAGUUGGUGGGGUAAAGGCCCACCAAGGCGACGAUCCAUAGCUGGUCUGAGAGGAUGAUCAGCCACACUGGGACUGAGACACGGCCCAGACUCCUACGGGAGGCAGCAGUGGGGAAUAUUGGACAAUGGGCGCAAGCCUGAUCCAGCCAUGCCGCGAGAGUGAUGAAGGCCCUAGGGUUGUAAAGCUCUUUCACCGGUGAAGAUAAUGACGGUAACCGGAGAAGAAGCCCCGGCUAACUUCGUGCCAGCAGCCGCGGUAAA
This 468-nucleotide ribosomal RNA is filed under the name uncultured Ochrobactrum sp. RNAcentral's name for it is "bacterial SSU rRNA". It matches the Rfam family "Bacterial small subunit ribosomal RNA", at positions 8 to 524 of the family's 1533-position model. Lineage: Bacteria; Pseudomonadati; Pseudomonadota; Alphaproteobacteria; Hyphomicrobiales; Brucellaceae. The record is from RNAcentral.